UACACACCGCCCGUCACAUCAUGAAAGCCGGUCGUACCCGAAGUCGUCGCGUUAACCCGCAAGGGGGACAGACGCCGAAGGUAUGGCUGGUGAUUGGGAUG
Molecule: ribosomal RNA, 101 nt
Filed under: uncultured bacterium
Lineage: Bacteria
Description: partial 16S ribosomal RNA
Rfam family: Bacterial small subunit ribosomal RNA
Source: RNAcentral